This 484-nucleotide ribosomal RNA is filed under the name uncultured bacterium. RNAcentral's name for it is "partial 16S ribosomal RNA". It matches the Rfam family "Bacterial small subunit ribosomal RNA", at positions 30 to 507 of the family's 1533-position model. The record is from RNAcentral.
AUUGAACGCUGGCGGCAGGCCUAACACAUGCAAGUCGAGCGGAUGAAGGGAGCUUGCUCCUGGCUUCAGCGGCGGACGGGUGAGUAAUGCCUAGGAAUCUGCCUGGUAGUGGGGGAUAACGUCCGGAAACGGGCGCUAAUACCGCAUACGUCCUGAGGUAGAACGUGGGGGAUCUUCGGACCUCACGCUAUCAGAUGAGCCUAGGUCGUAUUAGCUAGUUGGUGGGGUAAAGGCCUACCAAGGCGACGAUCCGUAACUGGUCUGAGAGGAUGAUCAGUCACACUGGAACUGAGACACGGUCCAGACUCCUACGGGAGGCAGCAGUGGGGAAUAUUGGACAAUGGGCGAAAGCCUGAUCCAGCCAUGCCGCGUGUGUGAAGAAGGUCUUCGGAUUGUAAAGCACUUUAAGUUGGGAGGAAGGGCAGUAAGUUAAUACCUUGCUGUUUUGACGUUACCAACAGAAUAAGCACCGGCUAACUUCGUG